AGUUAUUACUAGUUAUCAUUUGUGGCACCGUUACAAUUAGUAGUACUUUAUCAGUAUUAUUGGUUUUGGUAGUAUAUUUAGUUACAAUACACACAUGUACAAAAGGUAUACAGCAAAUCUCUCAAGCUACCACAAACAGAAAGUAAUCGUAAGGAUUCUUGAGCUACAAAGAAGAAAGUGCGUAAGAAGAGCUCGGAGAACCAGAGCACAUGACACCCUGACCCUUAACAAAGAGGACACGAUCCGGACCUGGUUCAGACUUCUCUUAAUCGGUACAGCGUUCGGGCUGCGGUCGGCUUUUUCCGUCGUCAGUCCCGAACCCGCCUUUCCCGGAUAUUACGUAAGCAAUCCACCGGACGCAGCUGUUGUUCAACAAACAUGGCGUCGGUUACAACAGCUACAUCCGAGUGGAUUCAGUUCUUCAAAGACGCAGGAAUCCCCCCAGGCCUGGCGGUGAACUAUGCCGUCUCCUUUGUGGAUAACAGGUAGGACUGGGGAUCUGUGCCCCUUUUACUGGGCUGCUCUUUACUCAAGGACUCACUACUCAAAAUAAUCCUUCAAUUUUGGUAAGCAAAGUGUUUUACCAGGUUGGCCAUUUGGGCAGGAAAGGCUGGUUGUGUUCUUUAUAUUUGUCUUUGUUUUACCCUCCAUUAACAUCUGAUGUGAAAAGAAUGCAGUCUGUGGCCUGGCUGACACAGAUAUGCUGUCUUAUCACCUCAGCUGGUGCCAUGAGCCAGGCUUCAGCAAAUGACAGUCUGUGGUACUGUAUCAGACCCGGGCUGGUGUGGAAUGCAAACCCUAGACCUCUCAUUGUGAUAUAUAAUUAUAAUGUGCAUUUUGAUUCAAACCGGGGUUUGAAUCCGAGUCUUC
This 870-nucleotide long non-coding RNA is filed under the name Lepisosteus oculatus (spotted gar). RNAcentral describes it as "lncRNA (ENSLOCG00000021812.1)". Lineage: Eukaryota; Metazoa; Chordata; Actinopteri; Semionotiformes; Lepisosteidae. The record is from RNAcentral.